AAGGAAUAGUUUUAUAAAAAUAUUAAUUUUGGAGAUUAAAGAUAAAGGAUUCUUUUUCCUUGAU
This 64-nucleotide transfer RNA is filed under the name Coleoptera sp. ACP-2013. RNAcentral's name for it is "tRNA-Pro". The record is from RNAcentral. Lineage: Eukaryota; Metazoa; Arthropoda; Insecta; Coleoptera.